Cucurbita moschata (crookneck pumpkin) is the source of this 1075-nucleotide RNA transcript. RefSeq lists it as uncharacterized. NCBI's taxonomy places the organism in Eukaryota, Viridiplantae, Streptophyta, Magnoliopsida, Cucurbitales, Cucurbitaceae. The transcript is spliced from 4 exons. The record is from RefSeq and is a predicted model, not a curated record.
UUAUCCCUUUUCUUCCCAUCCUACUAUAUUCAAGCCAUCCAUAUCAACACGUGGAUCAACGCCGAUCUUCAAAAAAGCGUUUCAAAAAUCAACACACAUUAUCCAGAAGAAGAGGAAGAUGAUUCGAUUCUCGAAAGCCAGAGCAGAGUAGAGUCAAAAUCGAAUCCAAAACUUCAGAAUGAUAAGCCAUGUAAAAGGUCCAUUUCCACCGAUACCAGCCCUAGCGCAUCCAAAUUGGAACAGCGCCGUCGUCCGAUUCACCGCUCCGCUUGCUCUAACCAGAGCCAGUUGCCGGAUUGCAACCACUGCGGCGGCGAUUUUGGCAGCUGCAGUUGUGAUUGUUUCGCCGGCGCCGUCAGCCGCUGUCGAGAGUAGCAGCAACUUAUCGGAACAACAAGAAGAAAGUACUACGCUGUCUAACAUUCCGCAGACGCUUUCCGGCGAGUGCGCGCAGCCGAGCGACUGUAAGAAGGCGAGAAUUCAACGGCCGAAGUCGAGGAAGGCGGAGUCGUGUACGAUCAAGUGCGUUGGAACAUGCAUUCGAGGCGGUGAUGGAUCUCCCGGAGAAGGCCCUCUGAACAUCAGAAGACCGAUUGUUGUUUUCAAGCAAGGUUUUCGAAGUCGUCAAUACUGCCAUCGAUCACCAAUCCCUAGUCUCAGUCGAUGGUCUUUGAUCCCAGAUGCUACUUGGUCCCUAAUCUCAAUUGGCGACCCUUGAUCAGUCAUUAGUCAGCGAUCCUCAACCUUGUUGCUACGAUUGACGGUUCGGUAAUUGUUAACCACCGACUACUGUCGGUGACCAACUCUAACCACCACUAAAAUUUGAAGUUAUUAGUUCGUAUCUCGUGUUUGCAUAUAUUAAGUUGUCAACGAAGUCAUGCCUGUUGGGUGAUGAAAGUCUCACAUCGACUAAUUUAGGGAAUGAUCAUGGGUUUAUAAUCAAAUAACCUUCUCUCUCCAUUGAUAGGAGACCUUUUGAAGAAGCCUAAAGCAAAGCCACGAGAGCUUAUGCUCAAAGUGGACAAUAUGUUACCAUCAUGGAGAGUCCUAACCAUGCCUAACUUUAAAACCAAUU